CAGAGUGUAUAUCAAUUGGCGGAUUACCUGCAUUGGAAGCAGGAGGCUGUUGGUUCGAGUCCAGCCACUCUGAC
Molecule: transfer RNA, 74 nt
Filed under: Cytophagales bacterium WSM2-2
Lineage: Bacteria; Pseudomonadati; Bacteroidota; Cytophagia; Cytophagales
Description: tRNA-Pro
Rfam family: tRNA
About the family: Transfer RNA (tRNA) molecules are approximately 80 nucleotides in length. Their secondary structure includes four short double-helical elements and three loops (D, anti-codon, and T loops).
Source: RNAcentral